Molecule: ribosomal RNA, 301 nt
Filed under: uncultured bacterium
Lineage: Bacteria
Description: partial 16S ribosomal RNA
Rfam family: Bacterial small subunit ribosomal RNA
Source: RNAcentral
CAGUCGCCACGGGAAUACGUAGGGUGCGAGCGUUAAUCGGAAUUACUGGGCGUAAAGCUUGCGCAGGCGGUUGUGUAAGACAGGUGUGAAAUCCCCGGGCUUAACCUGGGAACUGCGCUUGUGACUGCACAGCUAGAGUAUGGCAGAGGGGGGUGGAAUUCCACGUGUAGCAGUGAAAUGCGUAGAGAUGUGGAGGAACACCGAUGGCGAAGGCAGCCCCCUGGGCCAAUACUGACGCCCAUGCACGAAAGCGUGGGGAGCAAACAGGAUUAGAUACCCCGGUAGUCCCUGUCUCUUAUAC